RNAcentral lists this transfer RNA (76 nucleotides) under Actinomycetota bacterium. RNAcentral describes it as "Actinobacteria bacterium (freshwater metagenome) tRNA-Glu". It matches the Rfam family "tRNA". From Rfam's summary of the family: Transfer RNA (tRNA) molecules are approximately 80 nucleotides in length. Their secondary structure includes four short double-helical elements and three loops (D, anti-codon, and T loops). Further hydrogen bonds mediate the characteristic L-shaped molecular structure. tRNAs have two regions of fundamental functional importance: the anti-codon, which is responsible for specific mRNA codon recognition, and the 3' end, to which the tRNAs corresponding amino acid is attached (by aminoacyl-tRNA synthetases). tRNAs cope with the degeneracy of the genetic code in two manners: having more than one tRNA (with a specific anti-codon) for a particular amino acid; and 'wobble' base-pairing, i.e. permitting non-standard base-pairing at the 3rd anti-codon position. Lineage: Bacteria; Bacillati; Actinomycetota. The record is from RNAcentral.
GCCCCCAUCGUCUAGCGGCCUAGGACGCCGGCCUUUCAAGCCGGUAGCACGGAUUCGAAUUCCGUUGGGGGCACCA